UUUAAGAGCAACCAUGAGUUUCCACGUUUAACUUUGAUCGUUCGUCUUAUUUGAAAAUUUUUUAUAAUUAUUAUUUUUGUUGUUAUGAGAUGAUAAAAUAUGAAUAGUACUUUACUCAUGACUUAUGUUUUUAAAUUUUUUCAAAUAAGACGGGCGAUCAAAGUUGGGAACAGAAAAACAUGGCUGCACUUAAA
Molecule: non-coding RNA, 194 nt
Organism: Oryza meridionalis
Lineage: Eukaryota; Viridiplantae; Streptophyta; Magnoliopsida; Poales; Poaceae
Source: Rfam